AAUUUUGAACAUCUGUAUCUGCUUUGAUGUAAUCCGUUGCCUUGCACGCCUGCGCGGCCCGCCGUGCGGGCGUGCGGCGUCUGCCGCGCCUCGGGCUCGGGGCGUGACAGAUUUGGUGGUAUCAGAGCUCAGGUUUCAGAUUCUUAGGGAUUGUGUUUGAAAUAGUCAGAUGGAGCUUAAGUUUUAGGAUCUUUAGGAUUCAUCGGAAAGUUUGAGAGAUGGGUAGACAUUAGGCCAUUAGACGAAGGCAUUUAUUUGCUUUUGUUAUUGAUAAAUUUGAGUUAUUUUAUCCUAAUUUUGAAAUGCUAAAAUUAGAAUGCAACCUAAUUAUGGUCGUAACCGAAGUGUGAAUAAGCUAUUCCGAGAGUAUUCUUGGUAGAGCAAUUUGUAUUUCAAGUUAUGAUUAAUUAGAUUUUGACUAAAUUAAGUGAAGGAAUGUUAAUCAUGGAAUAUUAUCGUGCAAUGUAAUUAUUUUGGAAGUUCAACUUGAUAUCAGGCACUGUGGAUAUUGCUUCUAGUUGAAGUUAAUUAUUUUGGUAGCAAUUUAAGAUUCAUCUAUAAAAAGAUGUUUAAAGCUUGGACUAGAAAAUAUUUUAUGAUAUUCAUUGAAAUAUUCUUCGAGGAUUGAUAUCUGUAUGUGGAUCAUGUAUGAAACUCUUGUGUAGAUAGAAAACAUAUUUGGGAUGAAAUUCUAGAAUUUUCCUUUGGCUUUACCUAGAAUUUGAAAUUUUNN
Molecule: long non-coding RNA, 733 nt
Filed under: Phoenix dactylifera (date palm)
Lineage: Eukaryota; Viridiplantae; Streptophyta; Magnoliopsida; Arecales; Arecaceae
Description: long non-coding RNA (PDAC_LNC000655)
Source: RNAcentral